CGAACGCUAGCGGCGGGCUUAACACAUGCAAGUCGAACGAAAUCUUCGGAUUUAGUGGCGGACGGGUGAGUAACACGUAGGUAACCUGCCUUUCAGUAAGGGAUAACUUGAGGAAACCCAAGCUAAUACCUUAUACGAUCUUCGGAUGAAAGUCUUCGGACGCUGAGAGAGGGGCCUGCGCGGUAUUAGAUUGUUGGUGGGGUAACGGCCUACCAAGUCGACGAUAUCUAGCUGGUCUGAGAGGAUGAUCAGCCACACUGGAACUGAGACACGGUCCAGACUCCUACGGGGGGCAGCAGUGGGGAAUAUUGGACAAUGGGGGAAACCCUGAUCCAGCCACGCCGCGUGAGUGAUGAAGGCCCUCGGGUUGUAAAACUCUGUCGUGAGUGAGGAACGUGACGUUAACUCACAAG
Molecule: ribosomal RNA, 413 nt
Filed under: uncultured bacterium
Lineage: Bacteria
Description: bacterial SSU rRNA
Rfam family: Bacterial small subunit ribosomal RNA
Source: RNAcentral